Non-coding RNA from Oryzias latipes (Japanese medaka), 778 nucleotides. The record is from RefSeq and is a predicted model, not a curated record. Lineage: Eukaryota; Metazoa; Chordata; Actinopteri; Beloniformes; Adrianichthyidae.
CAAAGAACAUAAUUCCUCUUCGUGCCUGGACUGUGGCUUCAUUGGCGGGUGGAUCGAAAAGCUUCACUUUCAAUUUGUGGAAAUGGAGUCAUCUCACAGUGGGAGAAAGGUCUGGACUUUUCCUGGGACGAGUCGCUCUUGUGCAUCGCCGUGAUGACUAAUUAUGCAGAAACAACGAGGCGUGCACCCAUGGGGUCAGCUCUGAGAGGAAAAACACCCGAUGAAGAUGUUGAUGCCUGAAGCAGCUGAUCCACAGCUCCUGCAGAGGUCCAGCUUCACCUUUGCUGCCGAAUCCGCCUCUCGCAGAGCUGAUUGAGGCUUCUCCCUCCACAGAUCACCCGGCUGGUAGGGAGUUUCUAAAAGCUCCCAGAAUCCCCUGCUUCAGCGGGGUGUGUGGGUGGGGUGCGUUCCUUAGCCUCCUGCUGCUGUCUGCCUCGGCCUGGACCCUGUUGAAGCCUGGUUUUGCUCUACUUUCCAUCCCUGUAGUCUAUCCUUCCUCAUGUUGCUCCUGGGUUUUAGUUCUUGUUUGGUUACUCCGAAGCACCUUGAAUUACUUUGUGUACGAAUUGUGCUAUACAAAUAAACUUGCCUUGCCACUUUGUUAGCCUUUAUUUGAUCAUUUCUUGUUGAUUACAGUAGUUGUCCUAUUUAUUUUGCUGCUUAAAAAGCCUAAUAAUGAAUUAAUUAAACGACAUUGCCACACUCAGUUUUGUCCCAGUUCUUUUUAAUUUUACAAAUAUAUUUUAGUGUACAUAUGGAUGCCACUGACCUGGUUUGA